UAUUACAAAGUUUGUGCUGUUGUGAUAAUGCAAAUUAUAUUAUUUAGUCAUUUAUUGGUACAAGAAUCACAGCAAUAAUUUAUAACGAGUCUCGUUUGUUGCAAAAAAAAAUUAUUACUGAAACUAAUAAUUAUCAAUUACAAUAGUAUUUAUAGUUGGAAAAUUUUGAAUCUCUAGUGGUGUAGCUAGACUUUUAAUCAAAUCUAAUGAUGUUACAAAGUUUUGUGCCAAAAGAAGUAAGUUUCAUGUCACUAAUUCAUGUGGCUUUUGCCACUGCUCUGAUCUACCUAGUUGUCUCUCCCCUUCUACAACUAUAAUAAUGUGUGAGCCUGAGAACCACCAGAUUUUAGGAUUAGGGUUUUCAACAGAAGCCCACUAGAUAGGGGAUUACUAGUUAAUAUGAUUCCCUCUGACUAGGGUUAUGUUGCAAUGAAAGUGCAACAUCUGAUGGGUACUUGGAAUCAUUUGCUGUUCCUAACUUACAAAAAAGGGAAGUAACCCAUGAUCAGUAUGAUACAAGAGAUGUGGGGUCCAUCCCAUCACUUCAAAAAAAGGAUGGACAGUUAUAAGAUUUCCAUGGCCCCCAAAAUUGGGAAAAUGAUACUUGUGUGGUCCAUUUACCGCCUCUAUAUAUAUAUAUAUAUAUAUAUAUAUAUAUAGAAUUGAGCAUAGUAGCUUAAUUCUAUAUAUAUAUAUAUAUAUAUAUAUUGCAUAUCAAGUGAGCAAGCUUAAAAAUUAGGUACAAAAUUCAAUGAAUUAGCUAUGUGCAUGUUAAAGUAUAAAAAUAUAUAUCGUGAAUAUAAAAUGUUUCUGAAAAUGCGCGAGUCUGUGCAUAUUGUUUGUUAGAACGCUAAAAUAUAUAUUUCUAGCUCUUGCAUGCAUGGGUUAAUAUUCUUGGGUCUGAACUGACGGGAUUUGCGUAUCUAUCUCAUGCUAAGUCCUUAUAUACGCGCAAUUUUUAAUGAUAUUAACAUAGUAGAAAUUGACAACAUUAUUGGCAUAUUUUUAUGAGAUUUAAUACAUUUUUUUUUGUCAAUAACAAUUCUGAUUUUGCGUAUUAACAUCAUUGGUCCACGUUAAACACACACUCUAUGAUUGAAAGCACCAAUUGGUCCUUAGAAAAUUGAAGCAUCCUGAUACAUCUCUUUCUUUCAUUGUGUUUAUUGUCUACAUAUCUAGAUAUAUAUCCACUUAUCUCUCUCUCUCUCUGCCUAUCUAUAUACCUCCAUAUAUUUAUAAAACUACUGUAUAUAUAUAUAUAUAUAUAUAUAUAUAUAUAUAUAUAUAUAUAUAUAUAUGAUUUAAGGUUUUAUGAAUAUGCAACAUUAAUAAUAAUUUUGGAAAAAGAAAAAGAGGCACUGAAUUACCAGGAACUCGACGAGGGCGCUGAUGAGGUAGACGAGAUACGUGGAGAGGAUGGCAUCUGAGAGGAAACCGCCGAGGAGGGCAAGGAGAAAGGCGGUGCCCAUGAAGUUGGUGACGGUCGUGGCCGCACGCGACGGCGACAUGCGCAUCCACUUCAUCAAGUAGGUUACCAAGUUGCUAGCAUUAGCUAGAAAUGCCAAAUUCUCCAUCACCUCCACAACUACAUAUGUACACGCAUUAAUACAUCACCAUGCACAAAAAAACUUCGAUUUUAUUCAAUAUAAAGAAAAUAAUAAACUGAUUAUUAUUUCGUAGUUUUAAGUUAGGCUACUGAAUGAAGGAUCAAGUUUCAAUAUUCAAAUUGUUGAAGUAUUUCAAUUUGUUUGAAACAUUAAUAAAGCUAAUUAGUGGAAGCAAAAAGGAAUUAAUGAAAGGUUCGACCCCAAUUAGGAUGUAGGAGGAAACGAAUUCGAAGGAGACAAAAUAAGCUUUGAGACCCCGAAAAAGGUUUUUAAUUUUAAAAAAGUAUUAAUAUUUUUUAAAUAACUCUGUAUAUUUAAAUAUCAUUUCUCAGUAUGCUUAGACCAGGCCAAGUCCUUUAUGCAACUGGGAUAAUAUUAAAAGUUGUACAGCUUAAAAAGGAAUUCAAAAAAUAUUGGAGAAGUGCCAAUAAAGAGCUAGAAACAAGGAUCAUGUGUGUGGAAAAGAUAAAUAAGUUGUAGUCUAGCAGUUUGUUACUGUAAUUUGGGGCCUACCAUGAAAAAGAAAUGGGAAAAGUUAGACCCUAUAACAGUUACUAAAAGAAGAAGGAAAAUAACACAACAUAUAAACAUAUAUAUAUAUAUAUAUAUAUGUAAUACUUUUUUUUUUUGUCUCUAUUUAUUUUUUUUCCCAAAAACUAUAUUCUAAUUAAUUUCCUAAUUUCAUAAUGAGAUAAUUAAGAAUUUUGACAAGUAGGAAAAGAAAAAAAUUAAAUACCAAGGACAAAGGAAGCUGCAACCAUGCCUCCAUGUUUGGCUUUCAAAGCUGGCUUGUUCCUCCAAUCCACAUACCCCUCCCAUCUCUCCUGCUCAUGCCCUUGUUCCUGUUAUAUAUAUACAUGAAGAGAUCAUGAUCUAAGAGGACAAAUAUAUAUAAGAGAUCAAGAGAGAUCUAGAGAGAGAAAAGAAGAAGAAGAAGAAGAAGAAGAAGAAGAAGAAGAAGAAGAAUCCACAUGAAAGCAAAGUGGAGGAGAGAGAAAUAAAGAGAUAAUCUAGAGGGAUCUAGAGAGAGAAGGGGAGAGGGGUAAUAUUUUGGAAGGUGAAAGGAGAAGGAGCCCACCAUCUCCAUUUUCUUUCUCCUCCCCCUCUCCUCUCCUUGUCUAGUGUGUGUGGAGAAGAUGUGGAUGGAACAAGUUCAAGCCACACAGGAGAGCUGUGUCAUAUAGGAGCCUUAUUUAUAGGGUGAGGGGGCCUACAAUUACAAACAAAAAAGGUCCAAACCCAAAUCUCUCACCCUUCAUUUUCCAAAAUGAAUAAAUAAAUAAAUAAAUAAAUACAUUAUUAAUAACUAAGACAAAAACAUAUGGAGUGUCAACUUCAAGGUGAAUCCACAUAGAUUUUCUUUCUCCUAGAAGGUACCAUUAAGGGUUUGUUUUGUAACAUCUUUUACUUCUACUUUCGGCUAAAUUAAUUAUAAAAGUGUUUAAUUUUUAACAAAAUUGAACUUUUUGCUAUAGAAAUUUAGUAUAAUAAUUUUUGAAUAGCACUUUUUAUAUAAUAUUUUAUUUAAAAAAGAUACGAAUUACGGUGAUGAGCAGGUGUGGAGCUAAAAGUUAAGCGUAGCGAUUACACGAUGAAUAAUAAGUUUUCUUCCUUAAAAAAAUACUUUUCAUUUUCCUUCCCUCUAAUUUAUAAAUAUGUAUGUUUUUGUUCUUUUUAAACAUAAAAAAUGUAAAUUAUUUGGGUGGAUCAAUUCUAUUUUAUGGAGCUUGACCUUUUCGAAAAAAUUAAAAUUUUUUUUGUUUGAACUAAAUCACCAUUUUUAUUGUAUAUCUCAGUGUUAGCUAUCUUUUCUUUCAUCAUUCUUUAAAAUAUUCUCUACAGCAAGAUAAAUUUAAUUUUUCUAGAUUAAAAUUUAAUUUUUUACUAAGCGAGGAGAAUGUAAAAAUAAUAAAAUAAAGAGUAAAUUAUUGGAUGACCUACAAAAUAUGGCUAACCAGGUUUAAACAAUAAUUAUUUCUUCCUAUACAUAAAUAAGAGAAUUCUCCAAUAAGGGAUAGUAGGCCAAAACAGCUCUUAUACUUCAUUUCUGUAUUUGUAUUCUGAAUUUCCAUUUUUAAGAUGUGGUUAAAAAUUUCACACAAAAAUAGCAAAAGGCCUAAAAAGGGUGACACAAUACCCUAGCUAGUGAGGUUCUUCUUAUCUUUUGUAAGGCUCUUCUUCUUAUCCUUGCAAUAAAUAGCCUCCAAUUAAUGUAUGUAGUCAACAACAGGAUGAGAAGGAAUCAUAUCCAAUUGCCCUAGUAUUGAGAAUUGGCUCUUAGCAUUGUAUGUUGAAUCCUAUACUAUUGGUCAAAAACUUACAUUUUAAGUGUUAGAUAUGUCUCGAAAUUUGAUUAUCGAGUUCGGUUUUGUGUCUCUCAUUCACGGUGCAACAAUUUUCUUUUUUUUUUGUGUAGUAAAGUUUUUUUAUUCAUUGCUCACGAUUUUUUCUCUGCAAAUAAUUUUUCAUGUAGAUUCUUAUAUUCACUUUUUUUUUUUUUUUUUUACUGUUUUAUUGUUUGCCUAGUUUGCGAUUGCCAUUUUCAAUUUCUGUUACAGUAAGUUUUGACCAGGGCCAUCCUAUCUAAGCAUGUGGGUGACGACAAGUUUUUUGUACUCUAGCAGUGGUGAUGGGGAGUCCAAAAAUGAUUCAGUCUACAUUUUGGUUCCGUUUUUUAAACGACGUUUUCAGUAUAAGAAGCAUUAGUUAAAUAUUUGAUAAAUAAGCUGUUUAUAUAUAUAUNNNNNNNNNNNNNNNUAUAUAUAUAUUGUCGUGAAGGAAUGAUAAUGAUUAAGAUUUUAGAUUUUAAAAUUAAGAAAAUAUAUAUGCUAUGUUCUUCCUAAAUUUAACCUGUGAAAUUAAUGAGGUUAGUUUUGGACUUGGAAGUUUAUAAGAGAUAGGGUGUAAUGAUAUUUCAUAAAAUGAGUUAAUUUCUAAAAUGUGACUGCGGAUUCUAAAAAGAUUUCAACUUGGAUAAAAAUAAUGAUAAUAUCCUACAUUUAUAUUCUACAAUAUGCUAGAAUAUAAAUUAUAAUAAUUUUCUAUACACACAAGUACAUGACUUCUCUCUAAAUUAAUAAUUUGCAAACAGUUAUAGCUGCAGCGAACUGAACAACUCCUGUAACUCUCAUUUUCCCCUAUUCACAAGGAAAAUGCAAUAACCGAAAUAGUACCUAAUAUGUAAAGUAUUCGAAAGGGACCUCAAAAUUUAAGCUGCAAUUUAAAUCAAUGAAAUCAAGGGGUUGUUAUCAAUUCUCCUAAACAAGAAAAGUAAGGCUUUUAUUUUCUUUCAGAUCAAACAUUUUAAGCUGCAGCAUCGAGUUCAUUCUCGCGACACAUCACAUUGCUCUUGUUCAUGCACUGUAGCUGUUACCUCAUGUCGUGAUCGCCCACCGCCCGUUUGGGACCGGACGGUGAUUUGGACUUGCAUAUCUCAAUCGUAAACAGUGUGAUCGAAACCGCAUUUGAAAUACAUGCACUUUAAAGAGAACAGUUCUAGGUGUGAAACAACCGUUAUAUUCUAAAAGCUUAAGCUGUUAAAGAAUGGUGUUUAAAUAUUAUAUUUAACACUCCCCCUUAUGUCUGGGCUCGAGACUUUUUAGUCGACUCAUGACGUGGGCUUGAAUUAAAUGGGAGAAAAUUAAUAUGUUAGGAGUCUGGCAUGAUUCGAAUUCAGGACCUCCUGCUCUGAUACCAUGUGAAAUAAUUAAAGAACGGUGUUUAAACAUUAUAUUUAACAGUAGGGGACCAUUGCAAAAACACAUGUUGAAGAACUGAUACACAUGCAUGAAAAUGUACAUACCUUAAUAAGGGGGUUAUGUGCAAAAAUUUAAAAAAAAUUACAUUAAUUCCUUCAAUUUUAGGCGACUCUUAAAUAGACCCCCUCAAACUAUAUUUUAUUGGAUUGAUUCUUUCUUAAUUACUUUUGAUUUCUCAAAACUAAUGUAAUCAAUAUUUGUUCCAUCUAAAAACUAGUAAAAUUCAAAAUUUAACGUGACCAUCAGUAAGUUCAAUUGAAUUUCUGAUAUAUUUGAUGCAAAUAGCUUAAAUAAGAAGUUUAAUUAAAAUUUGAAGUGGCUAUAUUUGAAUAGACUAUAAUUGAGAAGGUCUAAACACCUAUUUUUGACCCUGGCGUUGACCGGUUAACUUUUGACUCAUAUAAUUUUGGGUCAGAAGUGGGCCGACCGCGGGUUUAACAAACAUGGUUUUGGAUCCAAAAGUGCUUUUGACUUUUUAAGCUUUCGGCUUGAUCGAAACGCAAUAUUUAUGCGUAACUAAAAAGCAUUUUUCACUUUAGUAGAUGUAUUUAUUUAUUUUGCUAACUCUAUCACAUAAAAUUUGACACGUAUGUAAGUUGUAAGGAACUUAAGUGUGGUCAACCCAGGUGAUGGACCCAUGAUGCAAAUCAACUCAUGAAUUUGGGUUAGGUGGCUCAUCCCGUGUCGCAUUGCCUUUUUUUUUUUUUAUCGAUUUGGAACAAAAAAAUUAAAAUAAAAUUAACUAGUUUGGCAGUAAUAAUUAUCAUUAAAAUUAUACCGACCCUUUCGCUAAGGGUUUAAUCCAAAUUCUAUGAAAAAUAAGCGAAAUGGUUAGCUUCCUACGUUUCCUCUAAAAAAAAAAAAAGUAAUAUAGAAAUUUUUGCUUUAAUUUUUGUGUUCAUUCUAUUAUUAUUACUUUCGUGUUCUUUUUGUUAUUAUAGAUAGCACUAUUAUCAUCAAAACUUGCCGUUCGAUAAAAUUCAACUUGUCGAAUUAAUGUUAGUGCUAAUCAAUAAUUCUUAAAAAUUGAGAUAUUAGAAAGAUACAAUAAAUUCACUUAAAGUGUAUAUAGACAACAUAUAGAUGUCUCAAUUUAGUCUCGGCCGAACUCAACCUUCCAUCAUUACCUUUGACUUUAAUAUCACUUGUCGGAUCGUUAGCACUAACCAUUAAUAUUAAAAGCUUGAGCUGUUAAAAAGAUAUAAUCAAUUCACUUAAAACGAAUAGACACGGCGUCCACAAGUUCGACUAUGACUCGGUCUAACCAGCCUCCUGUCACUUCGAAUAUGAUUCGAUCCAACUUGACCUCCCCUCAUUUCGAGUGUAACUCGGUCCAAUCUAGUCUCUUGUCACAGAGUAGAAUGCUUGUUUUUUUUAGCCAACAAAAAUCUAACCCGACCUCCCACUAUUUCAAAUAUGAUUCGGCCCAACCUGGCCUUCCAUCAUAGGUAGGAUGCCGGCCCUCUUAAGCCAGUAAAACUUCGGCAGCACUUGCACAAAUUUGUAGCAUGCAGAAAUUGAAUUAGUAACCCUUCGCUUUGAUAUCAAAUGAAAGACCUAAUGGUAAUUAAGAGGAGGGGUGAAUUGGUUGGCAUUUAAUUCUUCAAAGGAGUUCUCUAGUAUCCACGCGAGUAGAAUUGUUUAGAAUAUCUGGGGAUCAUUUCUUAUUAAAUCAACUUUCCGGAUUGCAAUAAUAACGUUUUGCGACUUACACGAAUAAAGCAGCUUAGAGAAGCACCGUUACCAAUUUGAUAAUGAAUUAAUUCUCUGGAGAAAUUUCUAGUUGGAUGCGUUAUUGGAUUCCGAAAGCCAUUUUGGCUGUUGCUGCGAACGAAAGAUCAUUUGAUUUUUUCAAGUAGGAAAGCUAAUUGUCACGAAGUUGGAAACAGAGAGCAGGAAAGAACAAUAGAUCGAUGAUCACUAUUCUUUUUUUCUUUUUUUUUUUGAGAUAUAGAUAGCACGCUACCCGCUUUGUUUAUUUUAUUUAGAAAUAAAAUUAACUAGAAAUGUGAAUCAAUUAGGAUUCGAACUUGGGUGUCAGGUACCAACCACCAAGCCCUUUGCCACUUGUUCUAGGGAUAGUCGGUGAUGUUCACUAUUCUAAACUGCAUAAAAGGUAUUGAGAUGCUUAAUUCACUAAAUUCGUAUUUUGUGCCCAAACAAGAUGCAUAGGAAAUAAAAAGAUUGUUCCUAUUUAACUUGGGUGGUUGGAUAGGAACAUUUUAUUUUGCAUGAACGCUCAACAAGGGAAUUGAUGCUUGUUGCGAGCCCUAAAGUAAUCCAUAUAUUCUAUCCUAAGUUCCUAGCAGUACUUGUAGUUGGACCGACCGUAUUUAGUGCAGUUGUUCAAAGCUUUUUGGAUAAUUGUGAAAAAAUUAUAUUACAUCUGAUGAGAAAAUAUAAAGAAAAAAUAUUUUGUUUGUUUCUAUACGUAAUAUCGUAUUUUACAUGCUACAUACAAUGAGAAAGAUUUGGGCUUGUUGAUGGUAAAAGAAGAAUGGUUUAAAGAUCUAAAAAUCCUUCGUGAAUCUCAUGGGAGGAAUAAAAGUAUAAAACCAGCUCCGCUGUCUCAAAUGAAAGCUCAAAUUAGUAGUAGAAUAAAUUUGGAACAACUU
This 7980-nucleotide long non-coding RNA is filed under the name Ananas comosus (pineapple). RNAcentral's name for it is "long non-coding RNA (ACOM_LNC019018)". The record is from RNAcentral. Lineage: Eukaryota; Viridiplantae; Streptophyta; Magnoliopsida; Poales; Bromeliaceae.